Molecule: long non-coding RNA, 520 nt
Organism: Astatotilapia calliptera (eastern happy)
Lineage: Eukaryota; Metazoa; Chordata; Actinopteri; Cichliformes; Cichlidae
Source: Ensembl
AUUUCUCAGCGUGUACAGAACAGCUAACAGCACCAUCACAUGCAGCAGCCGUGCCUUGAACAUUUCCAUCAGUCAUGCGACCUCACAGGAUGCUGGUGAUUACUGGUGUGGAGUGGAAUCAAAUGAUGGAAGUUACAGAUUAUCACACACACAAGUAAACCUGAAAGUUAUAGAUAUUGAACCUUUGACAUCAACUAUUGGACAGAACUUCACUUACCAGUGUAAGUACAACCGGGAUGCCUCCUCAUGUAUAAAAUUCAUCUGCAAAGGAGAAGAUUCAACUGUAUGCAAACAGCUAGUAACCACCACAGAGCCUGACGUGAACCAGAGGUUUAUAAUGAAAGAGAACAGCGGGAGUAUCACCAUUACAGUGAGAGAAGUAACAGCAAACGAUAGUGGGAUAUACUGGUGUGGAGCAAGAGUCCCUCACAAAGACAAUCAAACACAUGACGACUUCUUUGAUGGAUUUAAUUUGACUCUAGAGCUUUUGCCUGUAACAGAAACAGGUCUUCUAACCACA